AAAAUCUACAGCAGGCAGUGGGGAACUUCUUCCUCUUGUUCCCUAGCUUCUUGCCCAACUGUGACAUGCAUUUACAAUACAUUUAGUCUUGUAUCAAGGGCUAUAAUCUACGUGCCAAUUAUAACAUAGGGAACUUUAAUUGAUUCAACUCCCAUGUUCCCUAAAUCUUUUCUUUUCUUUCUUCUUUUCCUUUUUAAUUAAUUAACUCACCAUUUAUGUGUAUUAGGGACUCCUUUGCAUGAGUACAAGGUCCUUUUAGCUUGAUCUAUGCUUAAUACUCUAUUAUAGCAUGAAAUCCCCUAUUUUCCACCCGGAUGAACAGUAACCCGAACUGACAGUGGGUUACUUCAUCCCAGUUUUGAUCCACUUUCAGGACUCCAAAUUUGAUGAAAUUUUUACCUAACAUUCUACACUCACAGAGGAUUCCAAAUAGAUAACAUGCAUCAUCAUCGGAGGCCGUUUGACCCCCUAAAUAAUUUGCCAAAGUUGGGACUUCGACACAGUUUUUCCGUAGUGCCGGAAAAAUUUGUCAAAAUCCGAUUCUUUUUCUUUUAACCACCUCUACAACCCUUAUCCGACCCCUCUAGACUAUAUCCACCCUUUGUAUAGCCUAAUGUCAUCAAAAGUCUAGAUAGGGAUGGAUAUUUACCUUUUUCUUUUUGGAAAUCGAGGUCCUUGCGUAGAGGGGAAGGAGAUCUGCGUUUUUCCUUCAGCUAGAAGUGCAACCGGGAUCUCCUUCCUCUUCCUUUCUUCCUUUCCUUUCCUCUCCUUCUUUUUCUUCCUCUCUGUCCGUCUGAGACUCCCCUGUGACUCUCUCUCGGUUUCCAUCCAAAAGCCAC
Molecule: long non-coding RNA, 839 nt
Filed under: Phoenix dactylifera (date palm)
Lineage: Eukaryota; Viridiplantae; Streptophyta; Magnoliopsida; Arecales; Arecaceae
Description: long non-coding RNA (PDAC_LNC006276)
Source: RNAcentral